Molecule: ribosomal RNA, 445 nt
Filed under: uncultured bacterium
Lineage: Bacteria
Description: bacterial SSU rRNA
Rfam family: Bacterial small subunit ribosomal RNA
Source: RNAcentral
GUGAGGAAUAUUGCGCAAUGGAGGCAACUCUGACGCAGCCAUGCCGCGUGCAGGAAGAAGGCGCUACGCGUUGUAAACUGCUUUUAACCGGGAAGAAACCCCAGGACGUGUCCUGGGUUGACGGUACCGGAGGAAUAAGCACCGGCUAACUUCGUGCCAGCAGCCGCGGUAAUACGAAGGGUGCAAGCGUUAUCCGGAUUCAUUAGGUUUAAAGGGUGCGUAGGCGGAGCGUUAAGUCAGUGGUGAAAUCCUGCAGCUUAACUGUAGACUUGCCAUUGAUACUGGCGCUCUUGAGUGCGCUUGAAGUGGGCGGAAUGUGCCGUGUAGCGGUGAAAUGCUUAGAUAUGUCACAGAACACCAAUUGCGAAGGCAGCUUACUAAGGUGUCAAUGACGCUGAGGCACGAAAGCGUGGGGAUCAAACAGGAUUAGAUACCCGGGUAGUCC